GACAUAAGAGGUGUAGAAUAAGUGGGAGAUAUUAGACCUCGGUUUCGGUAUCGUCAAUGAAAUACCACUACUCUUAUUGUUUCCUUACUUACUUGAUUAAAUGGAACGUGUAUCAUUUCCUAGCCAUUAUACGGAUAUAUUUAUUAUAUCUUAUGGUAUUGGGUUUUGAUGCAAGCUUCUUGAUCAAAGUAUCACGAGUUUGUUAUAUAAUCGCAAACAAAUUCUUUAAUAAAACGAUGCAUUUAUGUAUUUUUGAUUUGAAAAUUUGGUAUAACUCCAAUUACUCAGGUAUGAUCCAAUUCAAGGACAUUGCCAGGUAGGGAGUUUGACUGGGGCGGUACAUCUCUCAAAUAAUAACGGAGGUGUCCCAAGGCCAGCUCAGUGCGGACAGAAACCACACAUAGAGCAAAAGGGCAAAUGCUGACUUGAUCUCGGUGUUCAGUACACACAGGGACAGCAAAAGCUCGGCCUAUCGAUCCUUUUGGUUUAAAGAGUUUUUAACAAGAGGUGUCAGAAAAGUUACCAUAGGGAUAACUGGCUUGUGGCGGCCAAGCGUUCAUAGCGACGUCGCUUUUUGAUCCUUCGAUGUCGGCUCUUCCUAUCAUUGUGAAGCAAAAUUCACCAAGCGUUGGAUUGUUCACCCAUGCAAGGGAACGUGAGCUGGGUUUAGACCGUCGUGAGACAGGUUAGUUUUACCCUACUAAUGACAAAACGUUGUUGCGACAGCAUUCCUGCGUAGUACGAGAGGAACCGCAGGUACGGACCAAUGGCACAAUACUUGUUCGAGCGAACAGUGGUAUGACGCUACGUCCGUUGGAUUAUGCCUGAACGCCUCUAAGGUCGUAUCCGUGCUGGACUGCAAUGAUAAAUAAGGGGC
This 877-nucleotide non-coding RNA is filed under the name Drosophila sechellia. RNAcentral's name for it is "Eukaryotic large subunit ribosomal RNA". It matches the Rfam family "Eukaryotic large subunit ribosomal RNA", at positions 2448 to 3172 of the family's 3401-position model. The record is from Rfam by way of RNAcentral. Lineage: Eukaryota; Metazoa; Arthropoda; Insecta; Diptera; Drosophilidae.